ACACGUCUACAUUAGAUACCCCGGUAGUCCCAGCCGUAAACUAUGCGCGUUAGGUGUAUCGGUGACCACGAGUUACCGAGGUGCCGAAGGGAAACCGUGAAACGUGCCGCCUGGGAAGUACGGUCGCAAGGCUGAAACUUAAAGGAAUUGGCGGGGGAGCACCACAACAGGUGGAGCCUGCGGUUUAAUUGGACUCAACGCCGGGAAGCUCACCGGAUAGGACAGCAGAAUGAUUGCCGGGCUGAAGACCCUGCAUGACUAGCUG
This 265-nucleotide ribosomal RNA is filed under the name uncultured archaeon. RNAcentral describes it as "partial 16S ribosomal RNA". It matches the Rfam family "Archaeal small subunit ribosomal RNA", at positions 717 to 982 of the family's 1478-position model. The record is from RNAcentral.